CCUCUCCUUCCUUCCUUCUCCCCCUGCUUCUCUGUCUCUACCUUUCUCUCUUUCUUCUUUCUCCCUUUUUACUCUAUUGGGACAAAACUCUCCCUUACCAACUGCAGGAAAUCCUGAGGUGAUGGGUCUCUCCAGCUGAAGACCCCAGGGGAUACUGUUGGGCUGACCUGAGCUGGGGGGCGCUGUCGAGCACUCGGAGGAGGAGCAGCAGAAGUCACAGCUGGGGCUGUUGGUGCCUGUCACCCAGGCAGCGAGCUGCGCUGCAGGUAAAAAUAGUCUGCAGGAGUGGAGAGCGCUAGAGCUGCCACCUCGGGAGCGAGCGGUUCUCAGCAUAAACAAAGCAGCAUAUGGGCUGCCAUGUCAGGAAGUUCAGUCCCCGGGUGGUGAACCACCAUUUUAUAGAUCAUAUGAACAAUGCCUCUGGAGUUGUGCAACACGGUUGUUCUGAACACAGAGUAUAGAUUCUUGGCAAGUAUUUGUUGGAUGAAGGAAUGGAGGACUGGCUAGACGCCUCACUGGUA
RNAcentral lists this long non-coding RNA (521 nucleotides) under Bos indicus x Bos taurus (hybrid cattle). RNAcentral's name for it is "lncRNA (ENSBIXG00005000375.1)". Lineage: Eukaryota; Metazoa; Chordata; Mammalia; Artiodactyla; Bovidae. The record is from RNAcentral.